This is an RNA transcript of Populus euphratica (Euphrates poplar), 2727 nucleotides long. It is a transcript of the gene named protein phosphatase 5.2, with no coding region annotated. The record is from RefSeq and is a predicted model, not a curated record. NCBI's taxonomy places the organism in Eukaryota, Viridiplantae, Streptophyta, Magnoliopsida, Malpighiales, Salicaceae. The transcript is spliced from 15 exons.
AUAACAAAUGAGAGUACAGGGACAAAACAUAACAUUAACUGAUCAACCCUUAAAAGGUCGCUCGGCAGUUGCGCUAGGGUUUUCUCUUUUCUCUCCUCUGUGCCACUGAGCUGAUACAAUAGACCGAGACUUCCACCAGACACAGAACAAUAAACAGGAGGGCGCUAAAGUAUUUAUGAAAGCUAUUGUUUGCUAAUACAUAAUCUUUUUUAAACAAAACGACUGGUUAUGCCAAAUAUGGAAACUCAAAAUUCUAACGUUUCACGAGCUGAAGAAAUCAAAGUCUUGGCCAAUGAAGCAUUUAAAGCCCACAAAUAUGGACAGGCUAUUGAUCUGUACACGCAAGCUAUCGAACUAAAUGGUGACAAUGCAGUUUACUGGGCUAAUCGUGCAUUCGCUCACUCUAAACUCGAGGAAUAUGGCAGUGCGAUACAGGAUGCUUCGAAAGCCACUGAAAUUGAUCCUAAAUACUCGAAGGGUUAUUACAGGCGAGGCGCUGCUUAUCUUGCCAUGGGCAAAUUCAAAGAUGCUCUAAAGGACUUCCAACAAGUGAAAAAAAUCUGCCCAAAUGAUCCUGAUGCUUCAAAGAAAUUAAAGGAAUGUGAGAAGGCAGUAAUGAAGCUUAAGUUUGAAGAAGCAAUUGCUGUUCCCGAGUCUCAGAGGCGCUCAGUAGCUGAUUCUAUUGAUUUUCAUUCGAUAGGGACUAGCCCCAGUUCAUCAUCCAUGCCCACCCAAGUGGCCAUAGCACCAGUAGCAGUAGCAGUUGUGGCAGCAGCUGUGAUGUUGGUGGGAACGGCAAAACCUGUUGUGGUGGUUGCAGUGCUAAUGGUGGUACUGGUGGUCCUAGGGGCAUAUUUGUGGGGUAGCUGCAGGGGUAGUGGUGUUUUUACCAAGAGAGGAAUAAUGGAUUUAGAUGUCGAGCCACAAUACUCUGGUGCAAGGAUAGAGGGAGAUAUUGUCACUUUGGAUUUUGUCAAGAAAAUGAUGGAUGACUUCAAGAAUCAAAAGUGCUUACACAAACGAUAUGCAUUCCAGAUGGUUUUACAAACAAGAGAAAUUCUGCAAGCUCUGCCUUCUUUGGUUGAUAUAAAUGUUCCCGAGGGCAAGCAUUUCACUGUUUGUGGUGAUGUACAUGGUCAGUUCUAUGAUCUAUUAAACAUUUUUGAGCUGAAUGGGCUUCCCUCGGAAGAGAAUCCAUAUCUGUUUAAUGGUGACUUUGUGGAUAGGGGAUCAUUUUCCUUGGAAGUCAUCCUCACAUUGUUUGCUUUCAAGUGCAUGUGUCCAUCAGCUAUAUAUCUUUCUAGAGGAAAUCAUGAAAGCAAGAGCAUGAACAAGAUAUAUGGUUUUGAGGGUGAGGUCAGAUCCAAGUUGAGCGAGACAUUUGUCGAACUCUUUGCAGAAGUCUUCUGUUGUUUACCUUUGGCUCAUGUAAUAAAUGGGAAGGUGUUUGUGGUACAUGGAGGUCUUUUUAGUGUUGAUGGGGUGAAACUGUCUGACAUUAAAGCCAUCGAUCGGUUUUGCGAACCUCCAGAGGAAGGAUUGAUGUGUGAAUUGCUAUGGAGUGAUCCACAGCCUUUCCCUGGAAGAGGUCCUAGCAAGCGGGGUGUAGGGCUUUCUUUUGGUAAAGAUGUGACACGGAGAUUUUUGCAGGACAAUAACCUAGAUUUAGUUGUGCGAUCUCAUGAAGUAAAGGAUGAAGGAUAUGAGAUCGAGCAUGAUGGUAAAUUGAUCACUGUAUUUUCUGCUCCAAAUUAUUGCGAUCAGAUGGGUAACAAGGGUGCUUUUAUUCGAUUUGAAGCCCCUGAUUUGAAGCCAAAUAUUGUUACAUUCUCAGCAGUGCCUCACCCUAACGUCAAGCCUAUGGCAUAUGCAAACAACUUCCUGCGAAUGUUCUCAUAAUUUAUGUACCUGUCUGGGAUGGUCAUUCUUAUACUUUAUCAGCCGCAUGGUGUCUCUGCUGUCAAAAUGCUAGUUGUUUCAUAUGGCAGCUGGAGAGGAGCCCGUACAUGCUGACAAAUUCUGCUUUUAAGUUGUGAUAUUCUUUUAAAUGACACCUUUUCCUUGCCCUCUCCUUUUCCUGCUCUUCAUCUGUAAGAAUUUUCAGCGUGUGGUCUCCUUUCAAUUUUUUUUUUCCAGGCCAGUUAUAGGUGAAGCAAGUACUGGCAUGGAUGUUGGUGCCAUUGUAAAACGUAUGACCUCCUUCGUGCAUUGUUUUCAUUUUUCAAUCGUAAGGCGAGUUGUGUCCAGCAUGGCGAUUCGUCAGUGCAAAAAUUGAAUAAAGUUGCAAUCACAAAUAAAUGUAGCAGCUGUAGCGUGACUCAAGUGCAUGCCAUUCGGAGCUCCGAUUCUGAUUAUGAACCUCCGGUGACAAGGGAGAACGCUGCCAUUACUUCCGAUUAUCUACUGUGCACGUAUAUAUAGUGACUCAUGGUACGCGAGCAUGCAUGUGCACCUCGUGUGUUCUAUGAUCGAAGUGAAACGCUGGUGCAAUGAAAUGGUGAAGGGCUAGUAACGUGCCUCUAGCGGUUAGAUCUUAACUUUAACGUUGACUAGCGUUGAAAAGAAAGUCUCCGUUUCGGUUAUUUUAUAAACCAAAUUAUUUUUUAGUGGUAAGCCUGAAGCAAAGUCGCCCUUCAUUUCCCUGCGUCAUGGGCAACUGCAAUCAAAACCUUGAUCGAUUGAUGGUGGAUUGUUGGUAAUGGUCUAGUGCCUGUAGUUCCUUCUUUA